Molecule: ribosomal RNA, 298 nt
Filed under: uncultured Thiothrix sp.
Lineage: Bacteria; Pseudomonadati; Pseudomonadota; Gammaproteobacteria; Thiotrichales; Thiotrichaceae
Description: partial 16S ribosomal RNA
Rfam family: Bacterial small subunit ribosomal RNA
Source: RNAcentral
UGUACAGAGGGAAGCAAGACCGCGAGGUGGAGCAAAUCCCAGAAAGCCAUCCGUAGUCCGGAUCGGAGUCUGCAACUCGACUCCGUGAAGUCGGAAUCGCUAGUAAUCGCGAAUCAGCAUGUCGCGGUGAAUACGUUCCCGGGCCUUGUACACACCGCCCGUCACACCAUGGGAGUUUGUUGCACCAGAAGCAGGUAGUCUAACCGAAAGGAGGGCGCUUGCCACGGUGUGGCCGAUGACUGGGGUGAAGUCGUAACAAGGUAGCCGUAGGGGAACCUGCGGCUGGAUCACCUCCUUU